Molecule: non-coding RNA, 142 nt
Filed under: Photobacterium sp.
Lineage: Bacteria; Pseudomonadati; Pseudomonadota; Gammaproteobacteria; Vibrionales; Vibrionaceae
Also listed under: 1 other name
Description: FMN sequence
Rfam family: FMN riboswitch aptamer (RFN element)
About the family: The RFN element is a highly conserved domain that is found frequently in the 5'-untranslated regions of prokaryotic mRNAs that encode for flavin mononucleotide (FMN) biosynthesis and transport proteins.
Source: RNAcentral
AUUAAUUCUCAGGGCGGGGUGGAAUUCCCCACCGGCGGUGUACUUUUUUAAGUGAGCCCGCGAGCGCUCGAUAUUUUUGAGGUCAGCAGAUCUGGUUAGAAGCCAGAGCCGACGGUUAUAGUCCGGAUGAGAGAGAAUUUAA